AGUCUGGUGCCAGCAGCCGCGGUAAUUCCAGCUCCAAUAGCGUAUAUUAUUAUUGUUGCGGUUAAAAAGCUCGUAGUUGGAUCUCGGUUUCGGGCGAGCGGUGUACCUUGCGGUAUUUACUGUUUGCCCGGACGAUUUUGUUGGUUCGUUUAUGGUUCUCUUAACCGAGUGCCAUAAGUGGCCAGCACGUUUACUUUGAAAAAAUUGGAGUGCUCAAAGCAGGCGCUACAGCCUGAACAUUAGUGCAUGGAAUAAUGGAAUAGGAUCUCGGUUCUAUUUCGUUGGCUUUCGGAGUCGAGGUAAUGAUUAAUAGGGACAGACGGGGGCAUUCGUACUGCGACGUUAGAGGUGAAAUUCUUGGAUCGUCGCAAGACGAACUACUGCGAAAGCAUUUGCCAAGAAUGUUUUCAUUAAUCAAGAUCGAAAGUUAGAGGUUCGAAGGCGAUCAGAUACCGCCCUAGUUCUAACCAUAAACGAUGUCGACCGGCGAUCCGUUAUCGUUAACUGAAUGACUUAACGGGCAGCCUCCGGGAAACCAGAGUGUUUGGAUUCCGGGGGAAGUAUGGUUGCAAAGCUGAAACUUAAAAGAAUUGACGGAAGGGCACCACCAGGAGUGGAGCCUGCGGCUUAAUUUGACCCAACACGGGAAAUCUCACCAGGCCCGGACACCGGAAGGAUUGACAGAUUGAGAGCUCUUUCUUGAUUCGGUGGGUGGUGGUGCAUGGCCGUUCUUAGUUGGUGGAGCGAUUUGUCUGGUUAAUUCCGAUAACGAACGAGGCUCUGGCCUACUAACUAGACGUUAGAUCCCUUUGUGGGUCUAUCGCAGCUUCUUAGAGGGACGGGCGGCGUUUAGCCGCACGAGAUUGAGCAAUAACAGGUCUGUGAUGCCCUUAGAUGUUCUGGGCUGCACGCGCGCUACACUGAAGGAAUCAGCGUGUGUUCCCUACCCGAAAGGGUUGGGAAACCCGUUGAACCUCCUUCGUGAUGGGGAUUGGGGAUUGCAAUUAUUCCCCAUGAACAAGGAAUUCCCAGUAGGCGCGAGUCAUAAGCUUGCGUCGAUUACGUCCCUGCCCUUUGUACACACCGCCCGUCGCUACUACCGAUCGAGUGAUUUAGUGAGGCCUUCGGACUGGUCUUCAGUAUGGCUUUCGGGUCGUGUUGGAGUACCGGAAAGACGACCAAACUUGAUCACUUAGAGGAAGUAAAAGUCGUAACAAGGUUUCCGUAGGUGAACCUGCGGAAG
This 1243-nucleotide ribosomal RNA is filed under the name metagenome. RNAcentral's name for it is "SSU rRNA". It matches the Rfam family "Eukaryotic small subunit ribosomal RNA", at positions 558 to 1823 of the family's 1831-position model. The record is from RNAcentral.